UACGUAGGUCCCGAGCGUUGUCCGGAUUUAUUGGGCGUAAAGCGAGCGCAGGUGGUUUAAUAAGUCUGAUGUAAAAGGCAGUGGCUCAACCAUUGUGUGCAUUGGAAACUGUUAGACUUGAGUGCAGAAGAGGAAAGUGGAAUUCCAUGUGUAGCGGUGAAAUGCGUAGAGAUAUGGAGGAACACCGGUGGCGAAAGCGGCUCUCUGGACUGUAACUGACACUGAGGCUCGAAAGCGUGGGUAGCAAACAGG
Molecule: ribosomal RNA, 252 nt
Filed under: uncultured microorganism
Description: partial 16S ribosomal RNA
Rfam family: Bacterial small subunit ribosomal RNA
Source: RNAcentral